Molecule: ribosomal RNA, 292 nt
Filed under: uncultured bacterium
Lineage: Bacteria
Description: partial 16S ribosomal RNA
Rfam family: Bacterial small subunit ribosomal RNA
Source: RNAcentral
GUGUCAGCAGCCGCGGUAACACGGACCGCACGAACGUUAUUCGGUAUCACUGGGCUUAAAGGGUGCGUAGGCGGCUUGGCAAGUUGGGUGUGAAAGCCCUCGGCUCAACCGAGGAAUUGCGCUCAAUACUGCCGAGCUCGAGAGAGACAGAGGUAAGCGGAACUAAUGGUGGAGCGGUGAAAUGCGUUGAUAUCAUUAGGAACACCGGUGGCGAAGGCGGCUUACUGGGUCUUUUCUGACGCUGAGGCACGAAAGCCAGGGGAGCGAACGGGAUUAGAUACCCCCGUAGUCC